This 427-nucleotide ribosomal RNA is filed under the name uncultured bacterium. RNAcentral's name for it is "partial 16S ribosomal RNA". It matches the Rfam family "Bacterial small subunit ribosomal RNA", at positions 355 to 774 of the family's 1533-position model. The record is from RNAcentral.
UGGGGAAUAUUGGACAAUGGGCGAAAGUCUGAUCCAGCCAUGCCGCGUGUGUGAAGAAGGUCUUCGGAUUGUAAAGCACUUUAAGUUGGGAGGAAGGGCAUUAACCUAAUACGUUAGUGUUUUGACGUUACCGACAGAAUAAGCACCGGCUAACUCUGUGCCAGCAGCCGCGGUAAUACAGAGGGUGCAAGCGUUAAUCGGAAUUACUGGGCGUAAAGCGCGCGUAGGUGGUUUGUUAAGUUGGAUGUGAAAGCCCCGGGCUCAACCUGGGAACUGCAUCCAAAACUGGCAAGCUAGAGUACGGUAGAGGGUGGUGGAAUUUCCUGUGUAGCGGUGAAAUGCGUAGAUAUAGGAAGGAACACCAGUGGCGAAGGCGACCACCUGGACUGAUACUGACACUGAGGUGCGAAAGCGUGGGGAGCAAACA